UAUCUGAACCCACCCAUGCCAGACAAGCUCACACGUGCCCCUUUUCUUGCAGCCACAACAACAGCCCCAUCUGUCUAUCCACUGGCUCCUGCAUGUGGAACCACUACUGGUUCCCCAGUGACUCUGGGAUGCCUGGUCAAGGGCUAUUUCCCCGAGCCGGCAACCAUAACCUGGAACUCUGGAUCCCUGACCAGCGGUGUGCACAUCUUCCCAUCUGUCCUGCAUUCUGGUCUCUACUCCCUCAGCAGCUCAGUGACCGUGUCCUCCUGGCCCAGCCAGUCUGUCGUCUGCAACGUAGCCCACCCGGCCAGCAACACCAAGGUGGACAAGAAAAUUGAGCCCAGACGACGACCACCAACAAAUCCAAGUGAUGUGUGCGAGUGUCUACCACCUGAUCUCACGGGUGGACCAUCCGUCUUCAUCUUCCCCCCAAAGCCCAAGGAUGUGCUCAUGGUCUCCCUGGCCCCCAAGAUCACGUGUGUGGUGGUGGACAUUAGCCAGGAUGAUCCCGAUGUCCAGUUUAGCUGGUUUAUAGAUGACAUAGAAGUACACACAGCUCAGACGGAACCCCGGGAGGAGCAGUUCAACAGCACCUUCCGCGUAGUCAGUGUCCUCCCCAUCCUGCACCAGGACUGGUUGAAUGGCAAGGAGUUCAAAUGCAAGGUCAACAGCGCGGCCUUCCCCGCCCCCAUCGAGAAAACCAUCUCCAAGAAGAAAGGGCAAAUCCGGGCUCCACAAGUAUACGUCAUGCCACCGCCCAAGGAGCAGAUGACCAAGAAUCAAGUCUCUGUCACCUGCAUGGUAACAGGCUUCUACCCUAGUGACAUUGAUGUGGAAUGGCAGAAGAAUGGACAGCCAGAGCAGAACUACAAGAACACCCUGCCUGUCUUGGAUGAGGAUGAGACUUACUUCCUCUACAGCAAGCUCAAUGUAAAGAGGAGCGAUUGGGAGGCACAGAAUACUUUCACCUGCUCUGUGGUCCACGAGGCCCUGCACAACCAUCACACAGAGAAGAUUCUCUCCCACGCUCCUGGUAAAUGAGCUUAGAGUCCUGUGAGCCCUCUGGUCCUAAGAGAUAUUGGUACCUACCUCCACCCCUUCCCUGUGUAAAUAAAGCACCCAGCACUGCCCUGGGACCCUGCAAAAA
This is a non-coding RNA of Peromyscus maniculatus bairdii (prairie deer mouse), 1147 nucleotides long. NCBI's taxonomy places the organism in Eukaryota, Metazoa, Chordata, Mammalia, Rodentia, Cricetidae. The record is from the annotation of a RefSeq genome assembly.